UACGUAGGGUGCAAGCGUUGUCCGGAAUUAUUGGGCGUAAAGAGCGUGUAGGCGGCCCGAUUAGUCCGCUGUGAAAGCCCCCGGCUCAACUGGGGAGGGUCACUCGAUACUGAUCGACUCGAAGGCAGGAGAGGGAAGUGGAAUUCCCGGUGUAGUGGUGAAAUGCGUAGAUAUCGGGAGGAACACCAGUGGCGAAGGCGACUUCCUGGCCUGUUCUUGACGCUGAGGCGCGAAAGCUAGGGGAGCAAACGGG
Molecule: ribosomal RNA, 253 nt
Filed under: uncultured bacterium
Lineage: Bacteria
Description: partial 16S ribosomal RNA
Rfam family: Bacterial small subunit ribosomal RNA
Source: RNAcentral